Molecule: long non-coding RNA, 1498 nt
Filed under: Equus asinus (donkey)
Lineage: Eukaryota; Metazoa; Chordata; Mammalia; Perissodactyla; Equidae
Description: lncRNA (ENSEASG00005028983.1)
Source: RNAcentral
GAUACUGAAGAAAUUUGCGUGCGCCAGGCGGACUGUGGCCCACCUAGGAUCCGUGAGCCUGGCGAUGGAGCAGGCUCUGUAAAUUUCCUCAUACCUGGAUAGCGUUUUCUAAAUACUGCGUCUGGCCGCCUUCCCAGAUAUACUGAAUCAGAAUCUCCAGUGAUGGGGCCCUAGUGAAAACCCGGGCUCCAAUCAGGAACUGAGGAAAGGAAAGAAAGGGGAAGGGGGUCAGAGGACUUGCAGGCGCUCAAACGCUACGCCUGGAGUUUAAAAGGGAAACUUCACCUCAAGGAACACGUGAAACCCCCAGACCACCAAGAGCUUCCGGCGUCAGUGCUUCCCCGGUGCAAUAGGAUUGCUUGCUUUAUCAACUCCUUCAAAAACUCAUCUCAGAGUGACAGUAAAGAAAUGAAAUCAGACAAAAGCCACAAGAGAGAAGAGCUCAGAAGGAGGGCAGAAGCAGAUGCGAAGUUUCAAUAAAUGUGUGGACGGUCAAAAAACAAAGGAAGCAACAUAUGUUCAAAGUGAAGAAAGCAGUAGUUCAGGAUACAGGAAGUUUAGGGCUAAGCCUAAAGAACCCCAGACUCACCACAAGUUUAGGAAUAAGAAAGACACUGUGUGUGCCUUUAGGCUGUGCCCACUGAUAUGAGCGAGAACCCUCAAAUCUCAGUCUUAGCGUUUCAGGGUCACUCUUCAUGGACACUCCUGAUUGGGGGUUGGGACUCCUCUAAGCCCUGAGUCAAGGAUCCUGGCUGCUUCCAUCCUGGGCCUUGGCCAUCUUCAUAAUAUGGAUUCAACAUUAAACCAGACUCAGAACCGUCUAGGACACUCAGAACAAUUUGAUAAAAAUUUAUAUUCAAGAAACAUGAACAGGAUACUAUGAAAAAAGGAAGCCCCAGAGAAUGUGAAAGAGCAUUGGAAUUUAAAAGUAUGAUUGUUUAGGAUUUUUUUUAAGUGACAGUAAAAGAAAAAAGAGAAAGGAAAGCUCUUCUCUACUGAAAAGCUGUUAUUCUAAUAAAAGAAGAAAGGAUAAUAUUAGAAAAUUCCUAUUUUGUGACAUGUAAUGUAAUCAUUGAUUCAGGUCAAAGAUCAUCAGUGGAUGUUAGAAUCAUUUGUUGCCAGUUUUAUCAAGUAACCAAACAUUCAAACAGAACCAAUACAUCUUCCCACAGAUCAUUUAGUAAUUGAGAGGAGAAAAAUCCCCUACAGUGGAAAGGAUUGCAUUUACUUCCUUCAUAAAAUGACCAUACUUCACACCAUGAACAGGAAAACAGUCUGACAUUAUGGGUCUCCUGGUGUAAUUGAAUAUGAGGAACACAACCUCACCUAUGAAAUAUUAUUGCACAGAAAGUUCAGCUUUAAUCGGAACUCUAGUCCUGUGCUAUGCAAUAUGUUGGACACUGGACACAUGACUGUUGAGAACUUGAAUUGUGGCUAGUCCAAAUUAAGAUGUGCUAUAAGUGUCAAGUAUACACCAGAUUUGAUUUCAUAGAUAUAG